ACAUAGUGAGGGGUAUCAGAAUGACCCCCCCUCCUUACUCCCAGCCUGUUCCCUACUCCAUAUCCUGUAUGAAGCAAACCUGAGAGCGCCUUCACUCCCUGCCUUCUGCUACCUCCCAUCUGCUGACUAAUGCCCCCGGUGUGGCCCUGGGACAUGAUUCAAUUUUUGAUGUGGACAUGCAGAAUGUUGUUGUACCCCGUUAUGCGUCUGCCUCAGAUUCGGUACAAAGUGGGCCAAGUGAGGUAUCUAUGGAAAGCUGAUGCUUUGCUGAGUCCGUUGACAUGACCCAUGUGCUUGUAUGAUUUCUGCAUGGGAAGUAUUGGCUCUGUGCUGGUAUUUCAAGUAUUUGCAUCUGAGCCACAGCAACAGGCGACCCACCUAUUGUGGGGUAGAGUCAAGUGAACAGCAGCACUUCACGGACAACAGCUGCAAACCUGCAGGCAAACCUGUACCCCACAGACAGGUGGCUUGCUCAUGUGACAAACUCCCUUUUGGGAGGUACCAUCACACAGCCAGCGCAAUGGGAGGUGCUCUGUGGCGGACCCCCAUUUUAAGAAAUUGACUUAUGGAUACAAAUAUGCACAAUUCAAAGAUGCUUAGGACAAAAUACCUCAUGUCAAAUAUCAAUGUUAAUAUCACAGUCUGAUGGAUCUGUAUCUUAUUUUGGUGUGUGUGUCACUCCUGUAUGAAGUUAGAAAUAUGGGGGAGGGAAUGGUUUAUGGUUUUAAACAUGUAUAUGAAGGCCAUUAAGGGUGUUUCCAGUGCUCGGAUACCUUAGUGUCUGAGUGAUCACCUGUAACAGGCUCCUUUGUCCUUUAAGUCUAAGAAGUGGCUGCUCUUAGGAAGACAUGUGUCCACUGCUCCAACUGGUAGGGUCUGACCAGGUAAUUUUCCACAGAAGGGGAGAAUGUAAAAAUAAAGAAUUCCCACCCAAAGGAAGUCUAUUUAAGAUGCAAGGUUUUCAGGCUCUUUGUCUUGGAGGACACACCCUUAGGGAGACAAAGACCCACCCAGAGAAAAAGAUCUUCCCUGGCUGGCUUGGAGGUUUUUUGUCCCACAGAACACAUCUCGAAGAACUAUCGUUACUGCACAGGGUGAGUAACUUCUUCACUGAGUGGUGGCCGUGAGGGUGCACCACUCAGGUGACUCUGUAGCAGUACACACCUGAUGGAGGUGGGCAUUGGAGUCUAAGUGGAAGGAGGAAGGACUGCAUCUGCUAGAGAUGUGGAGGGUAUUGUCCCCUUGUGCAGGGUAUAGUGCUGUGUGAAAGCAUGGUGUGAGGACCACGUGGCUGCUCUACAAAUGUCUGCCAAUGGUACGUUGUUCAGGCAGACCAUUGUAGCGGCCAUCACAUGUGUGGAAUGAGCCCUAAUGGGCUGCGGUGGCUGAGGGGGGUGAUGGAGGUUUGGAUGCAUUUUCUGUAAACCUGUGAGAAAACACUUCACCAUGGGAUGUGCAAAGAGAGAGAAGCCGUCUACGGGAUCACGGAAGGCCAUGAUCGCUGCCAGGUGGACCCAGACAGAGCUGACGGAGAGGCCCAUGUCGCUAAGGUCCAUGAGGUAGUCAAGUAAGGUAGGUAUGGGGACUGUGAUGGGAUGCAAAUUGCACAUCGUGCACCAUUGUUGAAAACGCGUCUACUUGUUUUGAUAGGUGCUUCUUGUGGAGGGAUGCCAACUGUUUAGAAGAAAACCCUGUCCGAACAGGUGAUUUCUUCAUUCUGGAACCACGGAUAAGCCAUUCCGUCAUCUGUCAGAGGAGGUGGUGAGAUCUGGAAUACUGCUUUGUCCUGCCUGGAUCUGGGUUCAUGUGAGGAACUCUCUGAAUCCGAUUGGGGAAGAGCGCUGCUCUGAAUUCCGUCUUCAGCCAGGGAUGGUUGAAAAGGAACCAACGGGACUCGCGCCGUGCAUGCAUUCCACAGGCUCAGGGGUGGGGGUAGAGUGGCCACUGAGCACGCAGGCGCUGUGCGAGGGGCAUUGCUCGCAAAAAUCUCCUAUCCCCGCACAGGCACGCACCGAGACCCGAGUGGAGCACCCACAGGGACACCACUCGAUGAAGAACGCGGUGCCCACAAUUGCAUUCUCCUCAGACCUGAAGAGGUUCAGUGUCUAUAAUGCUAUUUGGGAGGAGAGGCAGUGAUCUCAGCUUUGUGACUAGACUGGGGGAGACCAAGAGAUCUGGCCCAGGAGUAUAGGGUGGUGAGAAGCCCCAGAGAGCAAGGAUGCGAGUGUCCGUGGCUUUAUCCUUUUAGAUGCUAAAGGAUUAGGCUAAGUUCUAAGGCAUAAAUUGACCUGGGCCUGUGGCUGGUCCUUUGGGGUCAGAACUUGUUUGGAUCUGGUGAGAUGGCUUUUCAUAACCUCUCCCCUAUGUAAAAUAGUGGUAGAGAUGUAGCCGUGUUAGUCUGGGGUAGCUGAAGCAAAAUGCAGGACUAUGUAGACCCUUUUCUUCCAUUAUUUGAUCUGAGGAAGUGGGUCUGGCCCACGAAAGCUCAUCAUCUAAUAAACCAUCUUGUUAGUCUUUAAAGUGCUACAUUGUCCUGCAUUUUGCUUCCCCUAUGUAAGGCGUGGUGCUGGCUGUGGCACAGGAGAAGCUGGGCAUCUAAGGGGGUUGCUUGUGUGACUUCUUGCAGGCCAGUGUGGCAAACAGAAGUGCCCUGUGUGACUGGUUUGGUGCCCUAGAGUGGAGGACCCCUAGAUGUCAGCUUUCAGUAGCCCAGAUUCUAACUGGCCCCAAUUUUACUCCCCAGAUGUACCCUCACAAGCAGUGUUCCCUCUAAGUUCCAGUGCAAUGCAGCAUCACAGGUGAUUAAUCAGCCCCGCCCAGUCAGCUCCAUGCAGGGAUCCCUGAGCCUCUGACUGGGCAGGGCUGAUUAACCAUCUGUGAAGCUGGGUUGCCCUACAGUUUAGAGGGAACAUGCUCACAACCCAUCAUAUUGCAGACCUCCUUGACUCACACCUCACCCCUGGU
Long non-coding RNA from Pelodiscus sinensis (Chinese soft-shelled turtle), 2964 nucleotides. RefSeq lists it as uncharacterized. The record is from RefSeq and is a predicted model, not a curated record. Lineage: Eukaryota; Metazoa; Chordata; Testudines; Trionychidae.